Molecule: small nuclear RNA, 107 nt
Filed under: Dasypus novemcinctus (nine-banded armadillo)
Lineage: Eukaryota; Metazoa; Chordata; Mammalia; Cingulata; Dasypodidae
Source: RNAcentral
GUGCUCACUUCAGCAGCACAUAUACUAAAAUUGGAAUGAUACACAGAAAAUUAGCAUGGCCCCUGUGCAAGGAUGACAUGCAAAUUUGUGAAGCGUUCUAUAUUUUA